UGCCGGACAAUUUAUCUUUGGGGAGGCGGGCCGGGAUUGGAGACAGAGCCCACAAGGCAACAACAAAGUGCGCGUGAGAAAUCAACAAGCGGUGCUUGCCGAGAAGAGAGAGAGAGAGAUGGCGGCGUCGGCGGCGACGGCAACGGCGGCGGCGGUGGGGGCGGGGGAGGUGAUCUCCGUCCACACCCUGGAGCAGUGGACCAUGCAGAUCGAGGAGGCCAACGCCGCCAAGAAGCUGGUGGUCAUUGACUUCACUGCAUCGUGGUGUGGACCCUGCCGCAUUAUGGCUCCAAUUUUCGCUGAUCUCGCCAAGAAGUUCCCAGCUGCUGUUUUCCUCAAGGUCGAUGUUGAUGAACUGAAGUCCAUUGCUGAGCAAUUCAGCGUGGAGGCCAUGCCAACCUUCCUGUUCAUGAAGGAAGGAGACGUCAAGGACAGGGUUGUCGGAGCUAUCAAGGAGGAACUGACGAACAAGGUUGGGCUACACGCGGCCCAGUAAUCACCUAGCGGUGUAGUAUUGGCCUAAAUAAAAUUGCCGCUCAACAAGUAGUGCCUCUAAUGGCACCUUAUAUCCUGUGUACUUCUUGUUACUUGUUGGUUUAUGGAUAAUGCGUUGCUUAAUCCAAGCUAGUGUGCUUUUGCAUAAAUAGUUUUCGCCCCUUUGGAUGUGAAUUUGCCUGGAUCUAUCCUGAUCUACAAGCUGGGAUGUGCAUGUGCACACGGUUCCAGUGUUGGUUCCCCUCUCCGAUCCCACCUGGAGCUGGAAGUUCUCCCCUUUUCAAAAAAAGGGAGGAAAUUCUCUUCCGGAUUCAAGCAGAAACAUAUUUUGAUUCGGUUUCAUCAGGCUAGCAAUCCUCUCUUCAUAUAUACCUGGACAAUCGUCUUGU
This 884-nucleotide ribosomal RNA is filed under the name Triticum aestivum (bread wheat). Its description in RNAcentral is "partial small subunit ribosomal RNA". Lineage: Eukaryota; Viridiplantae; Streptophyta; Magnoliopsida; Poales; Poaceae. The record is from RNAcentral.